Molecule: transfer-messenger RNA, 394 nt
Filed under: human gut metagenome
Rfam family: transfer-messenger RNA
About the family: Bacterial tmRNA, also known as 10Sa RNA or SsrA, is named for its dual tRNA and mRNA-like properties. Its role is to liberate the mRNA from a stalled ribosome.
Source: RNAcentral
GGGGAUGUUUUGGUUUUGACAGCACAAGACAUCGGAAUGUAAGCAUACCGGGGUUGAAACCUACCUCGUUAUCAAGGUUUCAAAGCCAAUAACUGGCAACAACAAUUAUGCGCUCGCUGCGUAGUAAACGGAGUUUACUGCCUUAAUCGCAGUCGCCAAGGGCGAUAGCGACGAGUAUCCCGCCUGACUUUCUGCCUGCCAUGUCAGGUAUAUGGGGUAUCAUUCAAGCAGGAUGCGGUCACUGACUCCCUUAAUGUGGCCAAAGACUGAAGGGAUAAGAACAGGAUAGCAUGUCUGUCUGCAGUCUUGUUACGAAAAACAACGGCAGAAUAAGUAUGUAGAAAGCACUCGGGUGCUGUGUCUGGACGGCGGUUCGAGUCCGCCCAUCUCCACA